Erythranthe guttata (spotted monkey flower) is the source of this 2366-nucleotide non-coding RNA. Lineage: Eukaryota; Viridiplantae; Streptophyta; Magnoliopsida; Lamiales; Phrymaceae. The record is from RefSeq and is a predicted model, not a curated record.
GGUAUCUUGCCAAUUUCUUGAAGACCAGCGCACUCAAGUCUUCGAUCAAUACAUCUUCGCCGUCGUCCGACGCUUCCUUGAUUGCCCAAAAAAUUGGCUGGAAUUGGAGGGUAAAAUGCUAGUGAUUGGCCGCAAUUUCUAGAGUAAACGGGGUCCUGGAGCUGCCUAAGUCUCUAUUUUAGACUCCUAGCAUCACAACGAAGUUGUUCGAUAAAAUGCCAGAAUGAACAAGCUAUUGGUUGGACACUUUGGAAGCCUUGUCCGAGGCUCACUGUCAACAUUUCAUUAUCCAGCAUACCCAAGUGCAGUCACAUAAGAGGGAAGUUUUCUGAUCUCUAAUACUUUUUCUAUGGAAUAAUGGUCAAAUUAUUUUUGGUGUAAUUCCUAUAAGCGUGUGAAUCAAGGAUCAAGCUCCUAUAAGUUAUGCAUCAGUUUCGAGGUGGGAAAGAAGGUUUCUUGCUAGAAAUCCCACGGGGCUGUGUAGCACCGGGGUUUUAUUUUGAUAAUAUUGGUUGCCUGUUUUUGUGAGAUGAUUGGAACAGGGGAAGGAGAACUGUGGAGUUCACGCGUUGUGCGAUGGAAAUUUAGUAUGUAAGCCAAUUGAUUAGAUCGAAUGCGAAAGAGUCGAAUUCACUUCUUAGAGCUCUCGAAGAUCCAGUCACUUGGGGACGGGAAACAUGUUCGUAAAGCUCGCGGUUGUAGCUUAGAGCUCGUUCCAUGUCCUGAAGCUAGAAUGUUGAGGGUUGUAAUUCCCCAGUAGCUCGCGUCGAUAUUAUGGAGCUCACACCCACCUCUCGAAAAUGAAUUCAUGCGAACUCGAGCCUCUCCCAAUCACAUUGUGAGGUGAAUUGAGAUAUUGCAUAAUAUGCUUAUUACUCGAGUGCUUGAUGAGAGUUAGAAUAUGGAUAUUUUUUUUUGUAAGAUUCAACAAGCAUGAUAUAACUCGUGCGAUUUAACUUACAAGCAUGAAAAUCGAUUUAUGAGACUGCUAUUUUCUUUUAAUAUUGUGCCUGUCGAGCUGAGUUCAUAUGAUUUAUGAGACCGUUGGUAAAAGUGGUUCCUCGGCACAUCAUUUUCUCAGAUGUUCAGAGACUACACCCUUUAAAGUUCAAAUUAAUCUUCUAAAUCGCUGUAUAAAUGUGGAAUUUUGUAGACCUUGUUUACUAGCUCUGAGGAUUGGAACUGUUUUACGGAUGGGGAAUCUAGAGCUCGAUUUUAUGGAAUAUGGUAUUAUUAUAUCUAAUAAUGUUCAGCUCGAAGUUUUUGUUAAACCCUUAAUCAUGUGUAUAAGCUCAUCGAGUAAUUAUUGUAUGGUUUCUCAAAUGACUUAAUGCAAAUUAUUUAUGAUACUACUGUUUGGAAAGUUUAUCUAUUAGCUAGUAUUUCUCUCUAUGAUUUUCUAAUGAUGGGUUCUUGUGAGCUCGAAUUAAUAGACGUGGGUUUUGAAUUUUCCAAAAAUUAGAUUUUGAGAAUAUGUGGAUAUAUGUUUACCAAACCAAACCAUUAUGCUCGCUAAUGCUUUCUAAAAUGAAUCUCUUAUUGAUUUUUCAAAUAAUUAUGAUUAUAUAUAACAGCUGGUCAUACUUUGGAUCCUCACUCGAUUUUGUGUGGCGAGUAACUGUUAACUUCUUAAUAAAAGGAUGUUUGAAUUUUCGAAAUGCAUUUCGCUAAAGACGCAAAUUUGUUUGGUCAUUUUGUGCAAGCAUGUUAGCUCAUCACAAUAAGCAAUUAAUUGUAUUCUACUUGAUUUAGCUAUGAUCGAAAUAUGUACACUUAUUAGACAGGGGAAGCAUUUAACUUUGAUGAAUUAUUGAUACAUGUGGGCAUGUCGAUUUGGUAGUGGUGUUUCUAGAUUCUACAGACUAAUAAUAGCGCUCACAUGCUUAUGAUUUAUGAUAGUUUCCGGCUUAUACAUUUGUUGAGCAAGCUUGGAAUCAUUUCUCGAGAUUAGAUUUCCAGAAGUCGCAUGUAUUUCUAAAAUGUCUUGAGUUGAUCUCUUCAACCAGCAUUCAACAUUUUUGGCAGCUCGAGUUUCUUUUGCGAGGUGAAUUCCAAUAUAUUCAUGUGAUAUAUAUUUUAAUAAUUACUUGCACAAUGAGAAUUUCUUUCGGGAUUUUUAACUGUUCAGCAAGUACUUAACUUCAAAAUAUUUUUCAACUAGAUUUGGGAUAAUACAUAACAUGCUCAUUAUUAAUGUGUUUUGAAAAGAAUUUAGAUGAGCCUCUCCGGCCUCUAUAUGCAUGAUCAGUAUAUGUGUGCUUUAUGUGAUUAUAUGUUUUCUGAGCAUUGUUCAUAAUUGAGCAGGGGAUUGAGGUUGAAUUUUAUAAUGGUAUCGGAAGGGAGUUUCUUGAAUUACGAGCGUCAAA